CUUCAGCCUCCAAGCAGCACGGCUUGGGGCUCAGUCUCAUAAUGGCUGAUCCAUUUUCUUGUGUUAGCCUCACCUGUGGUGUCUAGAUAAGAGUGUCAGACUGAGCUUCUGGCACCGUGGAAACCGAUAGAUCCCUCUCCAUCUACCUGGAGCCCCAUGACUCCCAGCACAUAUCUUGCUACUUUAGUUUAUUUCCUUAUAAUCGCUCACUUGAGAAGAUGCCUUGAGCGUAGUCAUGGUUUGGUCUCAAGGGGUGAAUAGAACCAAAAGUUUUAUAAAAUGCCUCCUUUGUGAUUUUGUGGAUUUAAGAAAUUGACUCUUGAUAGAUGAUGGUGUGAGUACAGAGACCAUCACAGACAGUGAAUAGGAAUUUAAAGAGAUCUGUGAAAGAUCAAAAUAACAAACUUUCUGCCAUGAUUUCUCAGGGCAGUUCAGAUAUCGAAGAGACGUGGGCGCACAGAGUAGUCAGUGACUCUGCAUGAUAUUUGCAUAGAGAGAACUUUAAAAAGGUUACAUUUCUUUCCUACUUUCAUAUUUACUUUGUGUUAAGGUUAUAGGAUCUCGCUGGCAAUGGUACUGAUACUAUUUUUGUAAACUCUUAACUCAGUGUUCAAAUGGAUGGGAAUUUUGAGCAUCAGCAACAAUAAAUACAUAUUUUUUGUCCUUGUAACAUUCACACUGUGGUAUGCCUCAGAGUCAAUAAAGGUUGCUCGCUGCUUUCAACUCUAGAGCAAGAAAGAAACUUUUGUUUAUAAAUUUUAGAGAUUUUUGUCUUUGCACUUGCCCCAGAGUCAAAUGUAGAUAUCCACUUUAAGCACUUUUGGCAAAAUAUCAAAUACACCAGGUUUUAGAUAAGAAGAAAAAAACCCAGGUUUUCAUCCACAUAUGUCCUCUGCUCUUUGUUGUGGUAGGUGACUUCUAUUGGUCAAGCCUAUGCUUUUGUGGACUUAAGGAAUACAGAGCCUGUACAGGAAGUAAGAGAAGCAGGUGUGUUUUCUGGAAUGUCUUUCUGAUCCAUUUUAGUUAUGUCUAAUUUGGAAUAGGCUUAUGUAGCAUUUCAUAUACAAGAACCCUAUUUAUAGAUUCUUUACUCCUGCCCUCCAAAAAUGUAAAAUUUUGUAUUUAUUGGAGUGAAAUGGUCAGUGUUUAAAAUCAAUCAAAGAUUAUUUCAUUGUGUGUCAGUGUGUUUUAUAUUGGAUUUCCUUAUAAAGAUAUUUGGUGACAGAAGUUUGGUAUAAUCUUUAACUCGCCAUGCUUAGAUGUGUGUACUAGACAGAAAGCACCUUGUAGGGCAGGCUAUCUUGUUCUUUUUGUUAAUCCUAUAACACCUCAUGGGAGGCUCUUCAGGAAAUAAAGCAUCAGUUUUUAACUGUAUAGACUGUAAUUCCUGAAGAUAUCUGUGACCUUGUAUGGUUCUUGCAACCAUCUGGCAAGGUGGCUCAGGCAAGUCUUAUAAUCGUCAUUUCACAGAUGAUGAGUAGUGUCUCAGAGUGAUUUGUGAUACCCUCGUGUCUUUCAUCCAUUCAUUUUUUUUUUUUAAAUCUGAAAACUAGACACUUUAUAUUGAGCAAAAGGAGCAUUACCAGGCCAGGGUGGGAGGAAAAGGGCCACUGAGAAAUGGUUCAUUUGCAUUCAUGAGUCAACUUGGUGACAGUUGAAGAAGACUUUCUACAGAGCCAUAGAACUUGUCCAUCACCAGCAGCAUCUCUCUUCUAGAACUAGAGCAGGAUCAGAUUACAUUCCAGAUGGCCGUGAGCAGACCUCAGUGUGAAGGGCAGUGUGAAGAUUUCCAGAUGGGUGGCAGUGGAAAUGCAUUUCUGGCUUGAAAGUGGUCUCCGGGACACCUACUAGGUACAGUAGUUUUUCCUGAAGCUUUAAGACCAGCCCUUGGGUGCACCGCUUUUUCCUAACUUUGACCAGGUCUUGUUCAUCGGAGAUGUGGCAGACGGGUGGUUAUCUCUCAGACAGAAGUUGUAUUGAGAAUGAAUCAGCGACAACCAGCGUGACUCUGGACACAAGUCACCUUGUAUCUUUAGGUCACAGAUAUUCAUGUAAUAAAAUGUUCUUAAUGCUCACAUUGGGCUUGAGAGGCUUAAUAUUGAACUAAAUUUUGCACAUCAUUCUCAGCCUUGGCACUGUGCUGUAUGCAGAUGCUUUUUAAUACAACAAAUAGUUUACUGAACAAAUAGUUUACUGAACAUAUGAUACAUGUGGUUGACUGAGCAUAUGAUACAUGUGGUUGACUGUGCUAGUGCUGGCAAUAUGGUGGAAAGUGACACACACAAAGUACCUACCAUCAGGAGACAUAAAAACUAGUGGGGACAGAUGAGAGGAAAGGCAUGGCAGUUGGAUUAAUGUAAUGAAAAGAACUGUCCCUCAAUGGGAAUAGUUUUUUCAGGGUUAAGUAUGCUUGAACUUUCUGGUUGUCUUGGGUUUAAAUUACCUGGACUUCUUAAUGCCCUUAUAGUAAGGCUCUGCCUGGUCUUAGUAGCUGUGAAAUAUGUGGAAGUUUCAUGACCUGUUGGUGCCUUAGUUUUAUCAUCAGUGAAACAUCGGAGUUAAACUGUAUGAUUUUUAAAGUCUUUUCAGUGAAACAUUGAAAGGUUUUCCUUUAAGACCAGGAAUAAUACAAGGAUGCCCACUCCCACCACUCCUAUUCAACAUAAUUCUGAAAGGCCUAGCCAAAGCAAUUAUACAAGAAAAAAGGAUGAGACACCCAAAUUGAAAAAAAAAAAGUAAUAUUAUUUGUUUGCAGUGUUAUGAUCUUAUAUAGAGGAAAUCCUAAGUAUUCCACCAAAAAUCUUAUAGAACUAGUAAAUUCAGUAAAGUUUCAGGAUAUAAAAUAAAUCAGUUGCAUUCUAUAUUGCACUAUACCAUUUCUAUACUAGCAAUAAAAUUCCUAAAAUUGUAAUAAAGACAUCCUAUUUACAAUAGCAUCAAAUCUAUAAAAUUUAAAAUAAAUUUAACCAAGCAAGAAAAAGAUCUGUAUGCUGCAAACUUUGACUGCGGGAAAAAAUCAAAGAAGACACAAAUAAAUGGAAAUAUAUCCCAUGUUCAUGGAUUGGAAGAAUUAAUUUGAUGAAAUAUGCAUACUACUCAAAGUCACCUAUAGAUUCAGUGCAACCUCUAUCAAAAUUCCAAUGGUAUUUUAAACAGAAUGUGAAUAAAAACCCUGACAUUUAUAGAGACCACAAAUGAUUCUUAAUAGCCACAGCAAUCCUAAGAAAGAACACUUCCCUACUGUUUCAAAACAGUAUGGUACUGGCAUAAAAACAGAUUAUGAGAACGACAGAACAGACUAAAGAGUCCAGAAAUAAACACAUGCAUAUAUUGUCAAUUAAUUUACAGCAUAUGAGUCAAGAAUAUAUGAUGAGAAAGGACAGUUUCUUCAAUAGAUAGUUGAGAAAACUGGAUAAUCACAUACAAAAGAAUGAAAUUGACCCCUAUCUCAUAUGACUCACAAAACUAACUUGAAUUAUAUUAAAGACUUAAACAUAGUCUCUGAAAGCGUAAAACUCUUACACUGUCUCCUAGAAGAAAUCAUAAGGAAAAGGCACCUUGACAUUGGUCUUGGAAAUUACUUUUUGGAGCUGACAUCCAAAGCACUAGUAACAAAAACAAAAUUAAAUAAGUGAUAGCACGUCAAACUAAAAUGUUUCUGCAUAGCAAAUGCCCUUCCUCAGUUUCUUGACCUAUUAGGUGGGGCUAAAAAUAUCUUAUGGGGAUGCUGGUGCCACUGGACAUCACAAAUUACAAAAUGUGCAGUGUCUGGAAAGGAAAUGUGGGAUGAGGGAUUCUCCCUCCCGAUACUCUGGUAAUAACAAUCAUUUCACAUCCCCACUUACAAACCACCACUUCCAAUCAAACUUUUCAGAUGAAAUUCUAACUCAGUCCAGAGGCCGUGCCUGAUUUGAUCCCUGUCCAGGUUGCCAGUCCCAUCUUUACCCAGUCCCUCUCGUCUGGUUGUUUUGGUUGCUCAGAUGGGCAAGAAUUACCUUUCCACCCCAGGACCUUUGAACAUACCCUGUUCUUGGGUAAAAAUACUGUUUUAUCUUUCCAUUAACUCACUAGCCUUUCUUGACCUUGAGGUCUCAGCUUAAAUGUCACUUUCCCAUGGAGUCUUCCCUGAACUCUAGAAAACCCCAGACCUCCUCUUACGCAUUCCUAGAAUUCCUUUUAGUGGGAUACUCCUGUUAGUGGUAAUUAACAACUUAAUUCAUCAUUAAUUGUGUGAUGUCUGUCUGGUCACUGGGAUGUAAGUUCUGGGAGGGCAGAGCUAUAUCCAUUGAGUUCGGUUCUGUCCUCAGAUCCUGGCACUGGGUCUCACUCUGAGCAAGCAUUUGCUGAGUGUUCAUGAUAUAGAAGAAUGAAAGAAGUAAUGAGCUGAUGAAUCAACGAGGCCCACUGACACUUUCCUACAUGUUUUUAUCAAAAGAAGACCAUGAGAUGUGAGCCAUGGAGACUUUAGGAAAGUCACAGGUCUUCAUCCAAAGUUGUGUCCUUUUCACCCCUGAGGGCGGCACCACUUCCAAGGGGGCCAUUUGUCACCUGCGGCACAGCAGGCAGCCUCGUGUACCAAAUGAGCUGUGUCCACUCUGACCAGAGUGAUACACGGGAUGAUGAAAAGACACCACCUCUCUGAAACAGAUGCUUCGUUUUACGAUGGAAAGGGAGAAACCGCAGGCUGCAGGUGCGGGCGGGCUGACACGGGCUCUGUGGAGGAUCAUUAGCGCCUCCUCAGAGAGGCAGCUUUAACUCUGUUUAAUCAGCCACAGGCGGGAGAAAUGGCUUCAUUUCAGCUCGCAGAGAGCCAGAUCACAAAAGGAUGAUAGAUGGCCAAUAGGGUUCAUCACUAUCGGCAUAUUGCCUUAAUUUGGAGGGACAGCCUGGCACCCGCACUAAUCAGGAAGCAAGAUGGAAUCGGCUGGUGCCGCGGCCCAGUCAGGUCUGCUCUCGGCGCCCCUGAAGGAUGGCCUCCUGCUUGUUUCCUUAAUUAAUAUUUUAAGGAACGUGAGAACCAUAAAACAUAUGACUCCGUCACUUAAGGAGUUGCCUGGCUUGGAAUUCAGGACGCUGGAGGAAGGCCUCUUCAUACCGGAAGUGUCUGAGUUCCCGCCUAGAGACAAAGGAUGGCCGCCAUGUUGAUGGAGAGCCCGGCCCGCCAUUUGCUGGCUGCUAGUCCUGUAUACUGAUGUCCGCGUCGACCCGGAAAUAACUACAGGUGGAGACUGUGUUAUGUUUCUGUGGGUUCCUGUUUUCCCUGGCUUGGGCCUCUGUGGGCCUUGUUCUUCUAGAACACACCCUGGUGGGCUCUGUGCAAAUGGAUAUUCAGAUCAACUACACUUAGCUUCUGGCUUGCCCAAAAAUGCCAGAAAAGGGAUUUGAAGCUUGUGUGGGAGCAAGGAUGUGUAUCUGAACUCGGUGUCCUUGUCAAACCCCUCUUACUUGAAGGAAAAGCAGACAACGAGUAGUUUGGGCACUUAACACACAAUGGCUGUUUCAGAAUCAUUUGGUAUGUGUCACAUCUGAGUUUUCAUGGUAUCACCCAGCCCCAGCUCAGAGUGCUUUUAUAGCCCUCCCCACCCCCGUGACUAUUUUCCAGAUGUUCUGAAACAACAUCAAGUGACCCAGUUUACCUGGGAGAGGUUUAAAAAGGUGCAUUUAUGAGAGACUGGGGUGGGGGAGGCUGAGAUAUUCUCUCAGCAGCUUAGUUCUGGAUAAUCUCCCGUGAACGCAGUAUCGAAUCUUACUUUACCUAAGGCACAUUGAGUACUUGUUUUUGAAAACGAUAUGCUAAACACUCCUAAAGUGAAGAAGAAACUUAAGAAGCUUAACAAUGGAUGUAGAAAUAUUAUCAUCAGCUAUCAGGGUAACAGUAUCCAGUCGCUGCCCUCCUACAGGCACAGAUUUGGACUUAAGCAGAGGAAGACAAGGCGGUCGAAGUGUGUGGUCUCAGAAUGUGUAAUCAUCAGUGAGUUGGGGGAGGAAGGACUCGGUUAGCAUAAAACCUGAGCAGUGACAUUUGCUUUAGGAGCGGAAUAUGAUGAAAGUGAAAUCACAAUUGCAGAAAUGAGAAUGACGUACCAGGAGGCGAGCUGAGCUUGUGCACAGAUCUCUAUGGGGCGGCGAUGCCAUCGGAAGGAGAGAAGUCAGCAUGGCAGGGUGAUGUUUUCCUCUACCUUCUCCCUUCUGCCUCCUUGAUUGAUGAGAAUCAGAAUACAUGAACAGCAGGGGUUUGAAGUGCAUGGAGAAGAUUGACCAUAAGAGCAUCUUUAUAGUUGUUCCAUAGAGGCAUGGUGAGCGAGGACAUGAAGUCUGUGGCUCAGAGUGUGUCCGACACAGAAGCAGAAUUUCAUAUAGUAUCUCAAGUGCUUGUUUGCUUCCUGCAAGAACUGUGGGCGGAAAAAUAACACAAUGUUUCCUUCACUCUGGAUCUUCUGGAAGUAAACUGAUAAGCUUGUUUAUCUCUCGAUGAGCCGAGGGUGCAUAUGGAGUAUGGGGAAUCAACACCACCAUGGAUCAGGAACAAAAGGAGAGAGAAAAGAGGUCCCCCCUAAACUUGUGCCCCGUCCCACAACCUGCUGUUCAUGUAUACCGAUUCUGGUCAAUCAAGGAGGCAGAAGGGAGAAGGUAGAGGAAAACAUCCCCCGAUAUUUGUGCCCAAUAUUUUUCUUUUCCCCCCUGACUUAGUUCACUUAGCAUCAUCCUGGAAGAGAAAUCUUAAUGCCGAUCUUACUCGCUUUCUGGAACUUCAAUUCUAUAGUCAGAUGUCUAGGGUUUGUUGUGGUUUAGUUCUGUCUGUUCUUUCGUUUUGUUUCUUUAUAUUUCACAUAUGGUGUAACCAUCCGGCAUCUGUCUUUCUCCUUCUGACUUAUUUCACUUACCGUUGUCCUCUCCAGCCCCGUCACAUGGAGAGAAAUCCUUUUUAAAAUUUGUUAUUUAAAAUUUUCUUACAUUGUUCAUUUUGGUACAAUAUUAGAUUUCUUCUCUCAGGUGUAGUCCCCACAAAUCUCCCGCCACUGUAGCACCCGUGACCAUCACCAUAGUCCCUUGCGCUCUUCGCUCCCCUGUUUUGACCCCUCUUCCUCCCCCGCUGGAUGGCUCAGGGCUAUGGUUUGCUGCAAAUUUUGUCUUUUUCCUGAUCCUUCUUUUCAUUUUUCCUAUAGUCCCCCUUUAAGUGAGAACAUUUGAUAUAUUUUUUAAAGAUGUAUUUAUUUAUACAAGCACUGGGGUACAGGCCAGAGGCACAGGAGGGUGAGCAAAUUCACCAGAGACAGAGCAGGGAACAGAACAAGCAGAAGGACCGAAGUACACUGCUGAGGGGAGCAGCGGGCGAGACAGGAGAGGUCUGCCGCGCCAUGUAGGUAUCUCCCUGGCUGGCCGGGAAUUGAACCCGCACUGCAGAGGCUGCGGAACAGCUUCACAGCACUGCACUCAACCCGCUGUGCUACCAGGGAGGCUCGAUAUUUUUCUUUUUUCCUUCUGACUUAGUUCACUUAGCAUCAUCCUGGAAGAGAAAUCUUAAUGCUGAUCUUAUUCGCUUUCCCUGUUUCCCCUGAUCUACUGCUGGGCUUUUGAGCAUGGUGAACCAUGGAGAGAGAUGGGUGGAGCGGACCUGGGAUGUGAACUGUCUUCAUAGGUUUCAUUCUCUACCACUGCCAGGGUGGUUAGAUGCUUCUCUGCAGAACAGAAAACACUAGCCUCCCUUAGAAGCAAGCAACAAAGAUCUAGCUUUAUGUAGAAGACAGCUGAAGGCGGGGGUGGGAGGGGGAUGGAACUUAAAAGAGAAUUUCUACAUAUGCGAGGCACUUGCCUUCUCUGAGAUCCUAAGGACUAAGUUCAUGGCUGUUACUGAGGAAGGUGGGGUCUAGCCAACAUCUUCCUUUCAGACAGGCUGGCAUAUCAAAGGAGAAAUGCUUUUUACUUUGAAUCUAGAAAAUGUAGACUCUGUCACUGGGCUGAAGGAGGAGCAAAUGGCUUUGGAACCACAAGAGUAUUCCACAAAUUCAUAUUCUUUUCUCCUCUUCAUUCUGAUUUCUUUUGGUCCCCUCUGCUCCUUUUAUUUCCCUUAGAAUUUGUAUUAAAUUCGUUACAUGCUCUUAAGGGAGGGAAGUUCUCAAGGGUUUAAUCAAGGCAUAAGAUGCUAUGAAUAAAAAAGGUGGGAGGGGUGGGAAUCCACAGUGGCUUCAUUGAACGAAACCAGAACUCCCCUCAAGUGCUUCCCCCCUUUUGAAGAAAAAUAUCCCACCUCUCCUCCAGGAAGCCGAGUCUCAAAGGCCUUUAUUAACUUGAUCUUUGGGAAUAGUGUUUUAAUUUUCCAUAAUCAUCAUGCAAAUUGAUCAUGAUAAUCUCUGGAAAGGAAAAAAACGUGAGCCAAUGGCCUCAUUAACCGCGAUGCUAGCGGGACCCUCGUUCCUAAGAGCCGCUGCCCUCAGCCCCGGCCUCCUUUGUGUGUGACUCGGUCCAGUCCCCAGGGCCAGCGGUGACUCAUUCCCUGCCUGGCCUGUGUAAAUUGCCUCAUGCAUUUUACUCCCUCGCAGUGCCACAGGGGAAUCAUUUGAAAGGUCUCAACCUUAUGAGAGAAACAUUGGUGUUCUGUUAGAUUCCAGCCGGGAUCUGCACCUUUGCCUAAGCAGAAGCACCCUGUCCAUGUGCGUGUUUUAUCCACAUCUCGCCUUAAAGACCUCCAGGUCUCAAAUUGCUAAACUUUGGAAAAUAAAUGGAAAAAAUGAACAUGAGAACGUGCGGCUCUGAUGCCUGAUCCCAGUUGCCAUUCUGCUGAAUUCUGGGGCUUUUGAAAAAAUUUGUCUUAAUUUUUAACAGGGAAAAAUGACAGAGACAAGUAGAUUUGCCCAAAAUAGAUCGAGUGACCAAUUUUCGAGUUGGUUAUUCAUUUCAUGUAAGUGGCUCCACUUUUUAUUUUUAUAAACUGUAAACUUUAGGAGAAAGCCAAAUCAAAUGCAACACGCUCUUAGGGAUUGCCUGCUAUGCGCCAAGCAAGGUGAGACAUGUCCUCAAAUGCUGCCUCCUUCAUCCUUGUCCUACAGGUGAGGAAAAGGGAGGGCGGGAAGGUGAGAUGACCUGCCCAGCUGGGAAGUGGCAGCGUCCUUUGCAGAUCCCCCUCAUCAUUAAACAGGAUUUGAGGCAACUCUUUGCAAAUUAGCUUCUUUAGAGCUCUGGAGAGUGAGGCUGUUUUUCAGCGGCCCUUGUCCUGCUAGUGAUUAGGGAGGAUUCCCCGUAACCCUUGGAGUUGCUGGCUCUGUAAAGCUCUGGGUGGUGAGUAGAGUCGCUAAGUGUCUGCCUCCACUGAUUCAUUCGUCUCCGGCUGAAAAACACUCUCUCUUUCUUUCCUGGGGCAGACGGUUCCCUCCUUGUGAGGUCCAGAGGGGAGAUGCUCAUGGAGUUGAGGGAGGGGAGACACAACGAGUCUGCAACAAGUCAGGGUCACAUGUACGGCUCCUCUUGGAAAAACUCUCUCUCUCUUGCUGGGCUGCGAAGCUGCCCGCAGCCUCUGCAGCGACGGUUCGAUCCCCGGCCACCGGCGAGGGUCCCACAUGGAGCCACAGACCUCUCCUGUCUUGCCCGCUGCUCCCUUCAGCAGUGUGUUUCAUCAGUCUGCCUGUUCUGUUCUUCCCUCUGGCUCUGGUGAGUUCUCUCACCCUCCCGCACU
Long non-coding RNA from Talpa occidentalis (Iberian mole), 9670 nucleotides. RefSeq lists it as uncharacterized. The record is from RefSeq and is a predicted model, not a curated record. NCBI's taxonomy places the organism in Eukaryota, Metazoa, Chordata, Mammalia, Eulipotyphla, Talpidae. The transcript has 3 exons.